UACGGAGGGUGCAAGCGUUGUUCGGAUUUACUGGGCGUAAAGCGCGCGCAGGUGGGUGUGCAAGUCGGAAGUGAAAUCUUGAGGCUCAACCUCGAGGCUGCUCCCGAAACUGCACGCCUAGGGACUGGUAGAGGCUGGUAGAAUUCCCGGUGUAGCGGUGGAAUGCGUAGAGAUCGGGAAGAAUACCCGUGGCGAAGGCGGCCAACUGGACGGUGACUGACACUGAGACGCGAAAGCGUGGGGAGCAAACAGG
RNAcentral lists this ribosomal RNA (253 nucleotides) under uncultured bacterium. RNAcentral describes it as "partial 16S ribosomal RNA". It matches the Rfam family "Bacterial small subunit ribosomal RNA", at positions 524 to 776 of the family's 1533-position model. The record is from RNAcentral.